AAGUUAGAUUCUGAAAUAUAUUGAAGAAGAAUAUGAAAUACAUUGAAGCUUUAUGCAAUCAGCACAAAGACAUCUAUAAUAAGAGCAUCUGCAGGGCAUCACUAUCCCAAGGGAAUCCUUGUUCCAUUUGGCAUCUGCAGUGAACACUGUCCAGUGCAAUGAUCUUCAUUAUUGGAAUUCUUUGAAGAAUAAAGAAUUGCCAUCACUUUGAGAAAAUGUCUAAAUACACCGGCCACUGAACUCUAUUUCAGACAUUGUGAUAGAUAAGGAGGAUACAAAGACUUCAAGGGAGCCAACAGAGACAACAACAACAGUAGUUGCUGCCCUCAAGGAGUUGACAGUCUACUGGUAUGGAACAAUUAUAUGCAAAUAAGAACAACUGAUGAAUGGGGAACAGAGACAGCAGCACUUUGAGGCUAAGUGCUGGUUCAGCCUUAUCCCUCUGGAGAAAAGACUGUGAAUUUACCAUGAGGGAAAAGUCAAUCCAUGAUUCAUACUUCCAGGAAAUAGGAAAUGGCCAUUUUCUGUAGUUCACCUUUCUGAAGCCCAAUCAAGAGUUUCUCACUGACUUGCCCUGGAAGUAAGAACAAGAAAUUGUCUACUCUAAGCUUAAGAUUCCAAAGUAUACUUUGGGAUGAUGUCCAAAAGAGCGGCCAAAUGUUUUGACUACUUUGGCUUAAUCAACUAAUUAACAGAUUAGUAAAUCAAAGAAUUACAGAAAUUGAAUUAAUUAAAAAUGGACAGCUCAGCAAGGCACCUAUUCUUCUCAUGCCUGAUAAAGAAUCUCUGGUGUGUGAUCAUCUACCUUCUGCCCGAAGACUUCCAAUAAUGGGGCACGGACACAUUGUUUCUUGGGGCAGAUUAUAGAGAACUCUAAAAGUUAUGAAAUUUUAAUCUUCCAUUUCUCUAUUUUCAGCUUCCACCUAUUUCUCCUAGUCUCCCCUCUAGGACCAAGCAUAACAAAAUUAGUGUCUCUUUCUCAUGCUCACUUCAAGAGAGAUCCCUCUGAAUAUUCAAUUUUCCAGACUAAACUUCCCCAUUUUUUUCAACCAAUUCUACAGCAUGAAUUCAAAAUUUUUAAUCAUCCUAUUUUCCUCUUCUGGAUUCUCUUCAAUUUAACACUGUCCUUAGUUAACAGCCAAGUCAUUGAAAGAUAUCACAAAAUUUUCAAGUUGGAAGGAACAUCAAUGGCCAUCUACAUUUCAUUUAAGUAAGCCUAAAUUUGCUUUAUAAUUCUCACCUAUUGCUUCUAGUUCUGCCUUCUGGACCUAAACAAACAAAUUAAAUCCUUCUUCCACAUGCAAUAUUUCAAAUACUUGAACAAAGCUAUCACAUCCUUUUGGAGCCUUUUUGAUUCCAGGCUAAACAUCUUCAUCUCCUUCAAAUGAUUUUCAUAUGAAUGGCCUCAAAGACCUUCACUAUUCUUGGCCAUGGCUUUCUAUAUAUCCUUUCUAAAAUAUGAAAGCCAGAACUGACUAGUACUCCAGAUACAGUCUGAAUGAGUAUAGUUUUAUCUUUUAUUAAAAGAAAAGAAAAGGCAAUACCAGCAGAUAGUAUAUAUCAGCAUUAGAUCCAACAAUGAGGUCAGGUUACAAGUAGUUGAUGAGGAGCUGGGCGGGGCAUUGGUCGUCUUAACACAGAAUAAUGGGUGCAAUGGCCAGAGAUGACUCUCAGCAACUUCUGUCCCAAACAGGGAUGCACAGGGAAAAAUAUUUAAAUAGGGGAGAUUCUGAAGAACAGCACUAGUAAAUUCCUUAAACUUACCCAUUACCCUUACCCUUACCAGCUUACUAAGAAGAGUGCAUGAGAUAAAGUCCAGAAAAAUAGUGAUACAGGCAUCGCGAUUUAGGGUAACUGGGUAUUUCUGGUCCAUCUCUGUAUCUGUGUUGAAUUUCUUGUGUGGACCCAUCAACAUAUAUAGUCGUAUGUCCUGGAUUUCAUAAAUACUUAACAAUAAAAAGGGAAAACCUAAGCACAGAGGAGUGGAGCCCCAAAUUCAGCCUUGGUUUUUUCUCAGCAUUCACAGCUAAGCUCAAUCCUCCAUCCCUCGAGAUAAAUGAUUAGUCACAUGUGACAAAUGUGACAAAAGCAGAAAGCAGGGCUGAGGGCAAACCAAGCAACAUUAGACCUGGUCAAAAUGAAGCCAGAGAUCUGGAAGUCUGUUUCCUCAUCUUGUUGAUGGUUAAAACAUUAUAAGUGAGGAGAAGACAAUGGUCAGAAACCAGAUAGAUGGAUAGAAACUAGAGAUUCCCUCCUUAUUUAAUUUGACACUAUAUCCCAACCUUGUAGACUUCAGAAUCAUUGAUUCUAAGGAACUUAGAAUACCCAGAAAUGUCCCUUCUACCCGAACACAUGCGCCCACAUGAGCACACCCACCCCCACAUACCUCCCCACACAUGCUUCUAUAUAUUUACUUCUGAGCUAAUAUCCUAGAGUCCAAGUAUCAUUUCCUCUUCCCAUAAAGAAUAAAUUUCACUUCAUCCCCAUUGUCUUUCUAGUUUCCCUAAAGUAGAGUUGAACACCCCUUUCCUGUGGGACUAAACAGUAGUUAUCCAGAGACUGUCAAAGAGGCCCAACUGAUGUCCAGUUUAUUCAUGCAUGGGAUGUAGCAACUGAUGAUGCACACCUAGCAUGGAGUCUCCCUGUGGGUAUUCAUCCAUACAAAGUGAUAGAUAUGAUCAAUGGACAAUGGAAUUAAUAGGAAGGAUAAAAGGAGAAACAGAAGGGCAAAAAUAGCCUGGGAGUACACAUACCAAUGCAGUUUGGAGACUUUGAGAUUUCUUCUCCCUUCCAUCCAAAGUUGAAUAGUGAUUACUGUUAUAGCUGUAUUGAUAAAACACCAAUCUUAUUUCAAAGCUUCCAAUGAUAACUGCAAUGAUACAAUGAUAACUAAAAGUGGUCUUCCAGUCCCCUGGAAAGCCAUUACUUCCUGUGCAGAUGCAACAUUCCUAUGGAGUAUCAAGACUUUCAGAACAUGAAGAUUCCAGAGUUUCAAUGGGAAUUAGCAAGUGCUACCUCCAUCUCAUCCAUUUUUUUCUAGAUUGAGAGUUGCUUUAUAACUGGAGUCAGAUCCCUAACCAGCAGACUGCAGACUGAUAGUAUCCCAAUCAUUUGGGCCUAUGUCCAGGUUGGGAGAGAAGAACCUUGGCUUAGGAAAGUAAUUGUGCUUGCUGACAUUUACACUAUAUAUACCUAUUGUUCCUGAUAUUAGCAUGACAUUUUUGUAAUCCAAUUAAACUGUUUUUCUUUACCACAA
This is a long non-coding RNA of Antechinus flavipes (yellow-footed antechinus), 3256 nucleotides long. RefSeq lists it as uncharacterized. The transcript is spliced from 3 exons. Lineage: Eukaryota; Metazoa; Chordata; Mammalia; Dasyuromorphia; Dasyuridae. The record is from RefSeq and is a predicted model, not a curated record.